GUGCCAGCAGCCGCGGUAAUACGUAGGGUCCGAGCGUUGUCCGGAAUUAUUGGGCGUAAAGAGCUCGUAGGCGGCGUGUCGCGUCUGCUGUGAAAGCCCGGGGCUUAACUCCGGGUGUGCAGUGGAUACGGGCAUGCUUGAGGUAGGUAGGGGAGACUGGAAUUCCUGGUGUAGCGGUGAAAUGCGCAGAUAUCAGGAGGAACACCGGUGGCGAAGGCGGGUCUCUGGGCCUUACCUGACGCUGAGGAGCGAAAGCAUGGGGAGCGAACAGGAUUAGAUACCCUGGUAGUCC
Molecule: ribosomal RNA, 292 nt
Filed under: uncultured microorganism
Description: partial 16S ribosomal RNA
Rfam family: Bacterial small subunit ribosomal RNA
Source: RNAcentral